This 2505-nucleotide long non-coding RNA is filed under the name Mus musculus (house mouse). RNAcentral describes it as "long non-coding RNA chr5:33873837-33876342". Lineage: Eukaryota; Metazoa; Chordata; Mammalia; Rodentia; Muridae. The record is from RNAcentral.
UUUUUUUUUAGUAUUCAUAUCUAUUUACAUCUGUGUUUCCCAACAGAAGACAACUUCAGUAUUUUUAAGAGGAUAUCCUGAAAACCAACACGAAAGCUAAUCAUGACAAGGAAGUAAAACAUAGGAUCUGAGAGGAGAGGGUCCUUGCUCCAUGCAUGAGGACAUCCAUCCCACCCACUGCCUCUGAAGAGCUGUAGAGCAACCUGCUUUUGGCAUGGGUGGAUGGAUUUUUAAGUUGGUUUCCCAGUCAAGUUAUAUUUAAUUAAGGGACUAGUUGAGAUAGUUCAUGCAAAAGCACCAGAAAACUUAAAACAGGGUUCUCUGGGGCUGGAAGCCAGAUUAGGGACAGGGCCUUUUCAUUAAUGAGAGAACAUGUCACAAGGAAAGCAAGAGAUAAAAACCAACAAAACCUAACCUGGUGACCACAUGUCUGUGACUCCAUGUACUCAUCCCAAGGUUGUAUCUGGAGCCUGUGGGCUGGCUAGAUGAUAUAGGUGACUGGCACCUAUUAAGAGUAUAUAACAUAAAUACCAUAAAAAGGAGGAAAUAAAGAUAAGUAAACAUCUCAUUUCUCAAAAAAAAAAAAUGAUGCCUGUGUUUAUGUACAAUUUAAAUGAUUACAGAGUGCUCCUGCCCAAGGAUCUCAUAGCCUGGAGUGAGGGUCAGAACUGAUUUGUUCUGUCUAUGUUUCAGCACUGGUGUGUGUUCUCUAUAAGCUCCUGGCCCACUUGGCUUCACUUGAGCAGAAUGACUUGACUGAGUGGUUCUUUGUUGGCCUCAGUUGCUUUAUGUGGGCAUGAGAUGUCCCGUGAGGUCAUAGCUCCUUCUUUAGGAACUGCCUGUCCAUGAGAUGUCCCGUGAGGUCAUAGCUCCCUCUUUAGGGACUGUCUGUCCAGUGACAGAUUAGCCAUAGAGUCAUGACACUUAGUAAGUUUGCUUCCUUUCUCUGUCAUUUGAUCCUAAGGUAACAUAUGUCUCACAUGUAUUCAGACAUACAGGAUGCUAAUCCACCUUGCAUCCUGCUGUCCAGGUGGACUUCUGUUAGGGACCCAAGGGCCCUUUGGUGUGUAGUGUACAGCACCUUAUUUUAGCAUCAAUAAAUCCAUUAUCCAGUUUUUGAAAAAUCAACUCCAAGGACUGGGUUUAUCUUUCAGUUGACAAAAAUCCAAGUUGUCUUUUGCUAGAAUAAAGCAGAAGGGCUUUCCUAACAUGCUUUAGAGCUUUUAUUGCUUCUUACUGAUACUGACUUAGAAAGCUUUCUGGGUUUUGUAUUUGUUUUAAGAAACAUUGGUUCCUAUGUAUUUUAGCAUUUUUGGUGAUUUCAAUUGACUUUGUUUCUUUUAGGUACUGUUUUUAUUGUUUUACUUAGAAUAUUAGGAUUUUUUUUCACUAAUUUUUCUGCCAGUGAAGGAAAAUGGUCAUCCUUAGUACACAGAAAAGUAUGUUUUCACUUUUCCUUGUUCGGGAAUGAUAAGGGCAAUGCUUUUUGAGGUUUAACUAACAAGGAUUUACUUCCAGUAACCUGACAUAUCUCAUCUUGUCAGAGCCCUAUGUGCUAUAUCCACAUUUAUAUAUAUUUUUUCUAGCCUAUGUAGUUGUUCAGCUUUUAACAAAUAACUCUGGCAGUAUUUUAAACAUGCUAGCAUUUCAGGGGUAUUCUACUUAAAAACAAAACAAAACUGGGAUCAGAUGGCAUCCUAGUUUUGGUACCGGGGCAUUGCCAGUCACCUGAGCUAAGGAAGCAGGCAGGCUGGUGGUUCUUCUGUUCUCAAGCCUUUCAGGUGAGGACACAUGGCCUGGUGAUGCAGCUGGCUGGACCAGGCUCCCCCACAGCCUACUCCCAAGGGCUGGCUGCUUCUGAGGACACAACUGGGACAUGGUUGAGUCAGUAGACUAUUUAGAGACUCAUGUAACUUGGGGUAUGGGCAUGCCUUUAUGGGAGCAGCCACUCUCUGACUAAGUGGCCACUGCUCUCACUUAGACUUUGCUGUCCUCUAUGCUAACUAUGUAGAAGCUGGCUUUAGAUUAAAUGACUAUGAAGCACAAUGACAUUCUGUGGACUAAAAGUUUUUUUGUAUUUUGAUUUUUUUCCCCCCUUUUUCAUGUCCUCAGUAACUCAUACCUGGCUUUGAAUUAGGAGUGGCUAGGAGGGUUCUAGUCUGUGCAAACAUUAAUAAAAAUUAUUUUGAAUUUUAGGAUUUUAAAAUGGUUGAAUUAAUUUAAAAUUGUCUUAAUUCUACUCUUAAUACUUCACUGUGAUGUUAACUUGGAAGACCUGCUGAAGAUUAGUCUUUUAAUUUUAGACCAUUAUAUCUGCUGAGCACAGGAUUCUUAUCAUUUGUAAAUCUAAAACCGUCUGUGAACGCAUUUCUAUGCUUCUUCCUUUAUGAAAGCAUAACUUAAAACAUGAAAAUAAUGUUGGUUAUAGAAAUAUUUACUGUUCAAGGUCUGUAAUUGUAUUUUAAAAUGAUGUAGUAUUCAACUUGUGAAGGGAUUUGUUUUGUC